UCCGGUUUGUCACCGGCAGUCUCGUUAAAGUGCCCAACUAAAUGAUGGCAAUUAACGACAAGGGUUGCGCUCGUUGCGGGACUUAACCCAACAUCUCACGACACGAGCUGACGACAGCCAUGCAGCACCUGUGUUACGGUUCCCUUUCGGGCACUCUCCCAUCUCUGGGAGAUUCCGUACAAGUCAAGGGUAGGUAAGGUGGGGAUGACGUGCGUCAGUCAA
This 222-nucleotide unclassified non-coding RNA is filed under the name uncultured Gammaproteobacteria bacterium. Its description in RNAcentral is "contains 16S-23S intergenic spacer region". Lineage: Bacteria; Pseudomonadati; Pseudomonadota; Gammaproteobacteria. The record is from RNAcentral.